This 278-nucleotide ribosomal RNA is filed under the name Glomeromycota sp. Its description in RNAcentral is "partial small subunit ribosomal RNA". It matches the Rfam family "Eukaryotic small subunit ribosomal RNA", at positions 569 to 852 of the family's 1831-position model. The record is from RNAcentral. Lineage: Eukaryota; Fungi; Glomeromycota.
AGCAGCCGCGGUAAUUCCAGCUCCAAUAGCGUAUAUUAAAGUUGUUGCAGUUAAAAAGCUCGUAGUUGAAUUUCGGGGUCAGUAGGUUGGUCGUGCCACUGGUACGUACUGGUCUCACUGAUUCCUCCUUCCUGAAGAACCGUAAUGCCAUUAAUUUGGUGUUGCGGGGAAACAGGACUGUUACUUUGAAAAAAUUAGAGUGUUUAAAGCAAGCUAACGCUUGAAUACAUUAGCAUGGAAUAAUGAAAUAGGACGAUCGAUCCUAUUUUGUUGGUUUU